This 62-nucleotide transfer RNA is filed under the name Eucnemidae sp. 4 ACP-2013. RNAcentral describes it as "tRNA-Leu". Lineage: Eukaryota; Metazoa; Arthropoda; Insecta; Coleoptera; Eucnemidae. The record is from RNAcentral.
UACUUUGGCAGAUUAGUGCAAUAGAUUUAGGAUCUUUUUAUAUAAUUAUUUAUAGGUAAUAA